Molecule: non-coding RNA, 132 nt
Filed under: Streptomyces nanshensis
Lineage: Bacteria; Bacillati; Actinomycetota; Actinomycetes; Kitasatosporales; Streptomycetaceae
Source: RNAcentral
AGAGGAAGCCGGUGCGAAUCCGGCGCGGUCCCGCCACUGUCACCGGGGAGCGCACCCCAACCGAAGGCCACGGCCCGUGUGUUGACGGGCUGGAAGGCCGGGGUACGCGGCGAUCCGGGAGCCAGGAGACUC